AGGUUACACCUGUACUACACCACAUGACUGAGUUACUGUACGGACAGGUUACACCUGUACUACACCACAUGACUGAGUUACUGUACGGACAUGUUACACCUGUACUACACCACAUGACUGAGUUACUGAAAGGUUACACCUGUACUACACCACAUGACUGAGUUACUGUAUGGACAGGUUACACCUGUACUACACCACAUGACUGAGUUACUGUACGGACAGGUUACACCUGUACUACACCACAUGACUGAGUUACUGUACGGACAGGUUACACCUGUACUACACCACAUGACUGAGUUACUGUACGGACAGGUUAAACCUGUACUACACCACAUGACUGAGUUACUGUACGGACAGGUUACACCUGUACUACACCACAUGACUGAGUUACUGACAGGUUACACCUGUACUACGCCACAUGACUGAGUUACUGUACGGACAGGUUGACCUGUACUACACCACAUGACUGAGUUACUGUACGGACAGGUAACACCUGUACUACACCACAUGACUGAGUUACUGACAGGUUACACCUGUACUACACCACAUGACUGAGUUACACCUGUACUACACCACAUGACUGAGUUACUGUACGGACAGGUUACACCUGUACUACACCACAUGACUGAGUUACUGUACAGACAGGUUACACCUGUACUACACCACAUGACUGAGUUACUGUACAGACAGGUUACACCUGUACUACACCACAUGACUGAGUUACUGUACGGACAGGUUACACCUGUACUACACCACAUGACUGAGUUAAUGUACGGACAGGUUACACCUGUACUACACCACAUGACUGAGUUACUGUACGGACAGGUUACACCUGUACUACACCACAUGACUGAGUUACUGUACGGACAGGUUACACCUGUACUACACCACAUGACUGAGUUACUGUACGGACAGGUAACACCUGUAAUACACCACAUGACUGAGUUACUGUACAGACAGGUUACACCUGUACUACACCACAUGACUGAGUUACUGUACAGACAGGUUACACCUGUACUACACCACAUGACUGAGUUACUGUACAGAC
Molecule: long non-coding RNA, 1048 nt
Filed under: Salmo salar (Atlantic salmon)
Lineage: Eukaryota; Metazoa; Chordata; Actinopteri; Salmoniformes; Salmonidae
Description: lncRNA (ENSSSAG00000115768.1)
Source: RNAcentral